Molecule: transfer RNA, 59 nt
Filed under: Stephanurus dentatus
Lineage: Eukaryota; Metazoa; Nematoda; Chromadorea; Rhabditida; Stephanuridae
Description: tRNA-Glu
Source: RNAcentral
GAGGCUUUAGUAUAAGUUUAAGUAUAGUUUAUUUUCAAUGAAUUGGUUUUAAAGUCUUA